Molecule: ribosomal RNA, 317 nt
Filed under: uncultured eukaryote
Lineage: Eukaryota
Description: partial 18S ribosomal RNA
Rfam family: Eukaryotic small subunit ribosomal RNA
Source: RNAcentral
CCCUUAGAUGUCCUGGGCCGCACGCGUGCUACACUGACACCUGCAACGAGUUAUUCCAGCUCCGAAAGGCAGUUGGUAAUCAGAAAUAGGUGUCGUGAUGGGGAUAGACCCUUGGAAUUAUGGAUCUUGAACGAGGAAUGCCUAGUAAGCGCACGUCAUUAGCGUGCGCUGAUUAAGUCCCUGCCCUUUGUACACACCGCCCGUCGCUCCUACCGAUUUCGAGUGGUCCGGUGAGGCUUUUGGAGAGUGAGCGUCCCUGAGGCGCUUGCUCGAAGUCAGCCAAAUCUUACUACUUAGAGGAAGGAUAAGUCGUAACA